Spinacia oleracea (spinach) is the source of this 10672-nucleotide long non-coding RNA. RefSeq lists it as uncharacterized. NCBI's taxonomy places the organism in Eukaryota, Viridiplantae, Streptophyta, Magnoliopsida, Caryophyllales, Amaranthaceae. The record is from RefSeq and is a predicted model, not a curated record. The transcript is spliced from 6 exons.
CCUAAAUUCUAAAUUCCAUUACACAUCCCAAAAAACUAGUUACAUUGACAAGACUAGACAGUAGUCUCGGUGUCGCCCUGCGUGUUCUAAUGAUCAUCCUCAAAUAUGUUACCCGUAAAUUACAAAAUCUUGCACAAAGUUCUUUCACUACUUCAAUUUCAAGAGGAAAGAGAUAAAUACAGUCUCAAAUUAUCUAAUUUUGUUCGUUGAAUAAAAAAUUGGGGUAUUUUUUUGCUCAUUUUCCAACUAUCCGUCACGCGAUUCACGCAUCAAUUGUUCUUGAGGACUUAGUGAGUGCAGUACUGCAGUUGGCCAGUUGUACUAUCAGUGAUGAAUAUUGAAGAGAAUGAGGCAGGGAUAUGGGAGAAUUGCAUGGCUUUUGCACAAAGAUGAUGCAAAAAACUUGAAAAAUAGUUUAGAAUAUCAGAUAUUGGUCCCUCCUUGUCUGUCCUCUUUUUGAGCAACUUGGUACCUUUAAUCAAAAUUUUGCACGUAGAAUACUUCUUAUGACAAAUAUCAACUGAAUUGGAUAGGGGCCGCGCGAACGCAGGCCCCCACUAUCACAAAUUAUGACGUACACUCUUCCUCUUGGGAAGAUGUUAGGCAGGCACCCCUCCAAAGUGCAAUGGAGGCCACCUACCUAGGCCAUGAGCCUUGUUGAUCGCACAUUGACCUCGUCCAGUGUAAGCAGGCUAUAAAGUUUCAGUAACUUACAUUCAAGUUUGGAUAUGGAAUUGGUUAGAGGUUGCGCGGACGCAGACCCCCACUAUCACAAAUCAUGACAUACACUCUUCCUCUUUGGGAAGAUGUUAAGCAGGCACCCCUCCUAAGUGCAAUGGAGGCCACCUACCUAGGCCAUGAGGCUUCUUGAUCACCCAUUGACCCUGUCCAGGCAGCAGUAGAAGAUUUCCGGAGUAGGUGAUCCCACACUGAAUGGCUGAAGAAUGAGGUCGGAAAGAGAAAGAGGUACCGGAGUUGAAGAAAAUCAUACCUUUCUUGUCCUUUUGGCUAAAUACCUAAGAUCAAGCCUAGGCCAAACAAAAACUGUUCAAGUACAACCCUUAUCAAGACCAAUCUGGGGAGGUUCCAAUGUAAGCACCCUUACUCUUAAGUGAUAAUUCUGAUAAACCUUUCUUCAUUGUUCAAGAUGGAACUUUGGAAAGUUCCUGUGUCGCUUUCGUUACCGUUAAAAUUGUUUAUGUGUGAUAACCUUGCUCCAAGUUCACAAGAUUCCAUGACUUCUGGAUCUAUUGUUAAUACAUUAUUUCAUCCAUGUACUCCAGAGUCCAAAUAUCAGAAUAAUAAUACUGAGUUCCUGAAGUUCGCUGUGGACAAAAUUCCCAAAAUAAGGAGUUGUACCACAUUGAAAAUAUUCUAGGAAACUACAAUAACUACAGGAAAUAAAACCCAAGAAUUGAGACCACACAAAUCAUACCUUUCUCGGCCUUUUGGCUAAGAUCAAGUGUAGUAUCUGUUCUUAUCAGUUUAAUAUCUGAUACGUGGACCAAUGGUCCACAACGAUAUUAAAUUUAUUUUUUAAGGGGGAAGUCCCACCACAGUAGCUUGCUGCUGGGGUCUUCAAGCGUCGCCGAUGCGUUGCACUAUUGCACGGGCCUGGCACACCCCACUUAUUCAAUAUCAACAUUCUUAGAAAAGAGUUUAACAGGACAUGGAAUUCCUACUAGGAUAGCAUAACUUUUUUAGAGUAGUAAUCCACUUCGUAUCUUAAAUAUGUUUAAGUUUUUAGGGACUGUUUUUAGAAGCUUCUGUUCUUCUCCAUGUUUGAUUAUUUUCUAGAGUAUAUUUUUAUAUAUUGUAUUUGCAAUGUUUUAUGGCUCCAAAUGAAAAAAUUAGAUGGCUUAUUAAUUAUGGAAAAUUUUAUGUUUAAGAUGGUUUUCGUUUAGUAAAUCUAUCAUAACCAAGUCAAUAUUUGGAAUCAAGUGAGUUAACUAGAAGUAAACAUUUUGACGGCAUAACUUUAAGGAACUCUUUAUCUUAUACUCGUAGUUGUUGAGGAAAUUUUAGUCCCCUUUAGAAGGUUCAGUUCCACAUUUCUACUCCAUCACAAAUUUUUAUUUAAACUUGGCAAUUUAUAAUUUUAUGAUUUUUUCAAAGCGUUCAAUUACAUCUUUUGCUGUAUCUAUUUCUGGUUAUGACAUACAUUUACAAUCAGCAAAAAAGGAACAAAAUCGGUAUAACUGUUGGUGUACUUACUGUGAAUCAAAUCAUUAAUACCUGUUCGAUUUUUAUUAGGAAAAUUUGUAAUUAUUAAUCCAACCUUUGCCCGGUUUUCUUUAAUUAAGCCAACCUAUGCAAUAUUUCUAAAUAAUCCAACCUUUAUGACCCAACUACUAUUAUUAAGCCUAGCAAGUUAAUAACCUGUUGUAACCGGUAUUCACCCUUACGUGGCUAUAUAACCCUUACAAUUUAAUUUUUUUCCCCCUCCUUUUUUUUAAUUGUUAUUCUAAUGUUCGUUCCUCUCUCCUCUGCGAUUUAAUUGCUUCAUCUCUGCAAUUUUCGUUCCUCUCUCCUCUGUUCAUCAUUUCUCUUCUACCUCUUCUCCACCAUUGUUGAUCCCUCAUACCUCUGAAGUUCGUCAAAAAUAAUCAGCAAUUGCUAUGACUGGGUUAAACCAAUCAACUGUUGGAUCCAGGUUAAGGGUUAAGAGGAGAGAAGGGUUAAGGGUUUUUUGAAGAAAAAAAAAAUAGAAAAUCCUGUUUAGGUGGCACGUGAUGUGACGUGUCCAAAAUUUUAGGAGGGAAAUCAACUUUAGGUUGUCAACGUUUUUAAUGUUGACUUUGUAACAGGUAACUGGUCACUCAGGCUUAAUAAUAGUAGUUGGGUCAUAAAGGUUGGAUUAAUCAAAAAUAUUGCAUAGGUUGGCUUAAUUAAAAAAAACCGGGCAAAGGUUGGAUUAAUAUUUACAAAUUUUCCUUUUUAUUAUUGUUAGGUUGUAGGUCUUGUGUGCUUGCAGAAUUGAGUACAUUUGCACCAUCUUAAUAUUUCAGCCCCCAUAUUGGUUUAGUUUUAUUUAUAUUAUCACACUCGUCAAAGUAUUCUCUCUUUGGAGACAUCUGAUAAAUUUGGAACAGUGCGGAGAAGGUAGCAUAGCCCUCCGAGCAAGAAUGACACGCUCGCGAGUUUAAUUAGCCAAUAAUACAAAAGUUGUAGCACUUUUCUAACCGUGCUGCUAAUUAUGCAAAGACGUCUAUUGAGAGAAUCAACUCACGAGUAGUAAGUGGUUGAUUUAUGAAUGCUAAGCUGAAACAUUUUCAUCUUACACAAACUAAGAAAUGUUUUGCUUGCUAUCUUAACGUGUUGAUUCUACUUUGAAAAAAUGUCAUUUGUUUGAUGUUGCUUCACAAUUAUGUAUCUGGACUUUUUGGUUGCGCAUUUGAGAUGUUCUGCUGAAUAUGAACUUGAAUUAAUGGUGGAUAAAGAGAUUAAUCUAAGCCUGUGGAUAGCAACACUAUAAUCAAUCUACUUGAAUGGCAAAGUUUGUCCAGUCUUUGUGUUGAUCUCCAAUUAUAGUAUUUAUACCUAUAUGAAGUAAGAACAUAUAACACCAACUAAUGUUCCGUGCCAAAGAGAUUAGACUAGUAAAUGAACAACAUAAUGGACCCAAAUAAAGUAAGAACGUAUAAACCCACACCUAUUUUAUAAAUGUAUGUAAGAUUUUAAAAGUUAGUAGAACUAUCUACUUCUAAAAUGAUAUAUUGUGAGUGGUUCUAUAAAGGUUAGUGUUUAGCUUUAUCAUCCUAAUAGGUUUAGGUGGUUUAGAGCAUGUUUAUCAAACACCAAGAGUUUAGACUUGAACCCAAUAAAAUACAAUCUUUUAUCUUUUAUAUCUCCCCAACACCAAACCCAACACCAACAAUAUUUAACAAGAUUUAUCAAACAACAUCUCUAAAAUGUCACUUUGCAAUUAAAAUACCAAUCUCUAAAAUGUCAUUUUGCAUUUUUUUAAAAAACAUUAUUGUUUGGUCCCCCAUAUGCCAAAUGUCAAGUUUUCCAUACAUGAAGUUGGUUUUCCAUUUUCUUAAAUAGCUUCACUCUCUCUCCCUUCCUUUCUCUCUCAUCUCUCAUCUCUCUUCCUAUUUUAUUGUUUUUUAUUCAAUUCUCUCUCUUAAACACCAAAAGUUGCACUAUUGCACGAGCUUGCUACUGGGGUCUUCAAGCGUCGCCCAUGUGUUGCACUAUUGCACGAGCCUGGUGCACCCCACUAACCCAUUAUUCUAAAGAGUUCAUUAUGCAAUAUAAAUUUUACCUGUCCAAGCAAAAUAAUCAUAAUGAUAGAUUGUUUGAAAUGUAAAACUUAAUUGAUGGAUUUUGGAAUGGGAAGCUAUUUGAUUGAUUUCUUUUGUUAGACCAGUCCUCUAAUAUCCUACACAAGGCUUGUCCGAACUGUAAAAUUCCCGAAAUUUUUGCUUAUCUUGGUCACAACAGUUGGGGAAAUAAAUAAAGAACUUGCACUUGGCUUGUUAGAAUCUCCUUGAAUGAACCCAUUCAAAUGUAUGCUAUUUUAUGCGGCAAGCAGCUGGACAUAGAGAUUUAUCUGGUGCUCAGGAUAGCAAGUGUAGAGCGGCUAGAGCCUACUUGAAUGCCAUAGUUCAUUCAGUCUGUAUUGGAAAUAAUGACACCAAAACCUGGAAGUUUAAGAUGACAAAGUUUAACAAGUGAUCUCCAAUUGCACUAUAUGUGGUAUUUCUAGAAUUCAAUGGAUUCAAUUGAAGUGGACACUUUUGCAUGGACAACAUUUUUUAGGAACAGUGAUGAACUGCAAAAUUAGAGAACAGAUAGAGCUCUUCAUUGUUUCUCCUCACAUACAUGCUAAUAUGCUACGAUUGCGAGUGAUAAGAGGAAAAACUAUUUAUUUGUAUACUAGUGUUUGGUAUGUUUCCUUUGCAUGAGCUCUUUGAGGUUAUGAAUGGAGUGCGUUAGCCCAACUUUUGUUUCUAUGUACAUUUAUGGGAUAUAUUGCUAUGAACUUACACAUUGAUAUGAAGAUAAAGGGAAGAAGAGGGUUAAAUGUGAUUGGUAACAGGAGAAAAAACAACGAUUGAAGAUCACUACUAGCUUUUGAGAGGCUUCUUCCCUCCCGAAUUGCAAAAGGAAGCUCAAAUAAACUCUCAGUUAUAUUUGUAGACAAUUCUUUUCCUUUCCUUCUCGCUCUCACCGCUAACUAAUUGUCUGCUGCUUCCUCAUACAGAAUCAUAAAGUCAUAUCCCUUAGUUCCCUCCCUUAGGUUAGUUCCUCCUUGCAGAGAGUUGUCUUCUUGGUGGAGACUGCACGGUCUAUGCCUCUUGGGGCCAUAUUGUCCAUGUCUGAUUUACAACAUAGUUAACAAAGCAAAGUUCCAGUCAACUCUUUUGUCUUUUAUUGAUGUGCUUUGUUACAUUUUUUGAUAGAAAAAUUAUUUUCUUUUUCAAGGCAGGAUAAUAGGUAAGGUAGGAACAUAUGGUAUUGAAAUCUUCCUGUUUAUUGCUAUUGACAAAGAUUUCACUUGGCAGAAAGAAGGGACUUUCACUUUUAUGGGUUUUGAUUGGUUCUAAGUACAAGUAUAUGCUAAGAAUAGCAUUUCAAUAUUUCGUACUUACGCUCAUCUUGAACUGAAAUUGGUGUGGGAUCCUACCCCGAAAAUUCUGACGUAUUGUCAUGUUUGCUACAACAUGUCCAGCACGUCAAAUGGCGAUCAUCUAUACUUAAAAAGUGCCAAAAUUUGAAGAUAUUAAGUCAGGCGGGACACUAGGUAAACCUUUUUGCUCAACUUUCAAUGUUGUCAUGGAAGAAGUAGAGACUUGGCAAAGUAUUUACUGAGGUUAUUUUAGAUAUAUGCAAACCUUCGGAAGCUAUUCAGCUUAUAGUGGACCUAAAAGACUGCAUAAGAAAUUAGAUGUGGUUGGCCUUGGCACUGUGAGAUGUUUAAUCGAGUUUAUGAGCUGCAACAAGUUGAGUAUUAAGUCCCACAUUGAAAAUAUAUGUAAAUAUAUCCUUAUUUAUAAAGCUCUUGCUUCCUCUAAAUAUUGUCUCUUCGAAGACAUCUGAUAAAAUUGGAACGAUACAGAGAAGAUUAGCAUGGCCCCUGCGCAAGGAUGACACGCACAAAUCGAGAAAUGGUCCAAAUUUUUUUGGUCUUUUUUGACCCUCCUAAAAUCUGAAUUUCAGUAUGCUGUUUACAGGAAAAAUUGUUCUUAUGGGUUGUUGUAAGCUCCUUGGAGGAACUACCUUUUAAAAGUAUAUGAAUGUCACUUAUUACAGCUGUUACACAAUAUUCUUUACUAAAGAUAAAAAGAAUAGUACGCUUUGUGAUUACUGUGUGGUUGUGAGGAGUAACUAAUGAGGCACAGGAAUUAGUAUCAUGUUAUAGCUUGAAUCUUUCUUUUUUUAUGAUGCUUGCUUUUGAAAAAACAUUAUUUAUGUCUCUUUUGGUUAUACCCAUGUGAUUAAGAAGGCAUAAGACUUAGUCAUAUGUUAGCCUUGUGAUUAAGGCACAUCUGUUGUAGCUAGCCUUGUGAUCAGAAGGCAUAAGGCUUAGUCUCUGUUGUAGCCUUAUGAUUAUGUCUGGUACACUGGUACUUUUAGUUGCUGGGUGAUUUUUGAGUUUAGGGCCUAGGGGUUAAGAUCGAUGUUCUCCCUCCACAUGUGGAUGUAGCUAAACCACAUAAGUUUUUAUGUUGUUUGCAAUUCCUACGUUGCCAGCUACAAGCCUACAGCAUCUACAGUUCUAAUUAAAUGAAGAUUAGGCUUCAUAUCCGGUAUUUUGAUAUAGUAAUACUUAUCUGUAUGGUUAGAAGUUAAUUAAACCUUUUGCAAGUGCUUGAUGAUACAUGACAUAGAUCUUUUAUUGUGGCCGAAUGCCGAUGCUUAAUGGCAAUAUAUUUUCUGUCCCUAGUUUUUGUUCCAUCCAUCAUUUUUAAUAUUUAACUUCAACAAAGAAAUGUAAGGAGAUUCUGAAAUGCAUAUAAGACAUUUUUUUUAAAAUUUUUUUUUUAGAAUCUCAGUGAUUGAUGUUGUUGAAAAAUUAUCUCCCUUGGUGCCCUACUUACUGCUGCUGCUUUCCUUACUCCUUAGAUAGUUAGAUUUAACUUCUUUCUUAUGUGUAACUGCAACCUUUAUUUUUCUUUGGAAUUUUUCCUUUUCGUAGUUAUCAUCCACGUAUCAUAUUUUGACUGUCUCACUUGGAGAAGUGAUAGUUGAAGCUGGAAUGUCCGGAAAUAGAUGUAUGUAAGUUCUGUAUGAAGCACACUUACCUGGUUUUCUCAUUGGCCUGGCUAUACAAUCAAGUGUAGUAAUUGUUAUUCUGUAUCAGUUUAAUAUGUGUGUAGUCACAGUUAUAAUUACAUAAAUUGUUUAACUAUUUCAUGGGCUUGGUUGACCCCUUCUAAGUCAGGCACCUUCUGAUGUUAGAAGUGAAUUUCUUGGUGAUCUUUUGUAGGCCUAUGUCAUUUGAUGUGUAUGUUGUAUUCAACUGUGGUAGUUGACGGGGAUCACGAAAUACUUAAUGUCCUAAGUUGGAGUACUUAACAACUUUCACAGUGAAAACAUGUACACAAAGAGCUUCGAAUUGCUUCAAACAGUUUUAACAAGGUCAAAUAGUUAUCGCAAGCUAAGUAGAAUAACAAGAGUUAUCUGAUUCCAGAAUUGUGAAUCUUUUGGCUGAACUUCCUUCUGCGAUGAUCCAACUUUUCUUGCUGUAUUUCGUCUAAUUGGUUCUGACGCCAGUCGCAAAAACCAUGUCCUUAGAAACCCUAGCUUCGUUGCAGAACCUCAAAGUUACCUAUUCCUGGUUAGUGAAAAAUCAGAGAAUUUUCAGAAUGCGUAAGGAUAGUUUGGAAUGGGCGCUUAAUCUUGUCGAUGUCUUUAGUGGGUGGUUUAUUGAAAGAUUUGGUAACCUGAGUUCUUGUGGGGUUUGCAAAUUAUCAAGUUCUUGAGGAUUGAAUACUUGCAUAUUGUUGUAAAACUGCAGUAAUGAACAAUCUUUUGGGGGACAAACCAAAAUGGCGGGGCAAAUAAAAAGAGAUGGAGAGAGUAGCACUUUCAUGUUCCCUUUUUAUUUUCCUUAUCCAUUUUCAUCCAACACCAUUGCCAUUGCUGUAUCCAUUAAAAUUGAGAAAACUAUGAUGAAAUUAGAUAGGGGCCGCGCGAACGCAGGCCCCUACUAUCACAAAUUAUGACAUACACUCUUCCUCUUGGGAAGAUGUUAGGCAGGCACCCCUCCUAAUGUGCAAUGGAGGCCACCUACCUAGGACAUGGGCCUUCUUGAUCGCCCAUUGACCCCGUCCAGGUAAGUAUGUUUCUAAGUAGUUCUCAGUUCUAUUUAAUAUUCAUAUAUCUUAUAUGCACCUCGUUAGUCAUUGAUGUGGGAUACUGUGUUUGUUUGUUGAAUCCUUUCUUGUAAGCAUUUUUUUUAAUGUAUUUCUACGGAACCCAGAUAUUAUAUAGAAGAUAACAAUGUGACAAGCAAAACAUCAUUAGUUGAUCAAUCAAUGAAUAGUAGAUGUGAAGCCUGUACUGGAAACAUAAACUACAUAAAUUUUGAGCCUUAUGAAAAUCUUGGAAAUUUUAGAUUUAGAUGACUGGAACACAAUGGAUCGACUUGUAUCUAAAACAAUCAGUAUUUGUCUUUUGUAUAGACUGCAGACAGGUGCUUCUUCAUAUCUCUUUGCUGGUAUUUCUAAUAGGCAUGUUCAAUCUUCUAGGUUUAGUACUGCCUUGAUCUAUUACUAUAUAUUAGGAUCGAAAACCUGUGAUGUUAUUCCCACCAGGUGGGUUAAUGCAUUUGACUUUUACCCCAUACCUUGCAUUUCAACUCGUGCAUGAUCUUCUUGAUAACUACUUAUUAUAGUGACCAAUAGUGCAUGGGUUAUUUUGCUAUUGGUGAAAGGAUGCUUGUCAACUAGAUUUUCAUCUUGAACUUGAGUGUGUCUUGACUCUUAAAUGUUGGGGCGAGGAUGAUCAAAUCCCCCCUUUGUCCUUUUCUUAUUUAUUCUCUGAUGCUUUAGAACAUGUCAAUUUAAUAGUUCUCCGUUCCAUAUGAUUUUUCUUUCUCCCCUUUGAAUUUUGGGGAUUGGAAGGUACUUUGGUGGAUUGGAGGUGGGAGAAUAUGGUGGUAUGUCAAAAGACUGUAGUGGUAUACGAAAUAUAAGAUGGUUAUCAUGAAAUACAAGAGUAUGUUACUCAAAUUACACAUAUAGGAUGUAGUGGUACAUAAGGUACUUUGUGGUGGAAUAUUUGGUGAUAUACAACGCAAUUUACAAUGGUAAUGUCGUGAUGGUGAAUCACAUUGAUGGGGUGAAAAUUGUUUAGUUGAUCCUUAGGGUUUGUGAGGUAGGAGGCAUAGACAUAAGGUCACAUAUCAAAAGUUUAAAUCGCGUGGUCGGUCAAUCAUCAUGUGAGGGCUGCUAAUCUGUAUGGUAAAUGUAACUUUGUCCCAUGGGGUGUGAUAUGGUUUGGGGAAAGUGGAGAGCAUUAAGUUAUGCCAACUCUAUUCCACAUCCAUUUGAACAUUUUACAUUUCUACCCCUCCUUCCACUCCUCACUGUUCUCCUAUGUCUUCUUCAGAUUCUUCUGCUAUCCUUCCGCAAAAUUUAACCCUUGAUCUUUCAGAGUCGUCUUUACAGACACAUCUCACUCUCAGAAAGUCUACAAGGCCACGUAAACCACCUUUUUAUCUUGACUCUUAUCACUAUCACACUAAGAUAUAUGCAGAGGGAGGCUUGGUUGGCAAGCUGGAUUUCCUAUCUCACACAAGGCCUGAUUUGUGUUUCUCUAUUCAAUUGUGGAGUCAAUUCAUGCAUAUGCCAAGAAUGUCUCAUGUCUUAGCCCUGCAUCAUGUCUUUAGAUAUGUGGUCAGCUGCAGGUCAGGGUAUAUUGCUCAAAGCUUCAGGUUCCCUAACUCUACAAACCUUUUCAGAUAGUGCUUGGGCAGCUUGUCCUAACACUAGAAAAUCUAUCACUGGAUAAAGCAUUUUGUUUGGUCAUUCUCAUGUCACAUUGAAUUCCAUGAAGCAAGGAACUAUUUCUAACAGCUCGACUGAGGUUGCAUAUAGUGUCAUGGCAGCAGCAUCUGUCACAUGGUUUGUGAGUCUUUUAGAAGAGAUUGGUGUUACUAAUUUAAAACCAGUGAAUCUCCAAUGUCUGCUAUUUCUAUAACAAGGAGCCCAGUCUUUCAUGAGAAAACCAAACAUAUCAAACUAGCCUGUCAUUCCACAAGAGACAAAGUGUUACAAGGUUUGAUGCAGUUCACCUACUUAAUUACCAACGCAAUCUCAGUUGGUUGAUGUGUUCACUGAAGCUAUUUCCUCACCUCUGUUCAAUAAGUUCUUGCCCAAGCUUGAGGGGGGUGUUAGUUAUAUUGAUGACUCAGCACAGAGCAGCAAGCAAGCAGUCCCAGCUUUACAAAGCUGGACUUGCUCUCACUGGAUUCUACCCCUUGUAACUGUUUCUAUUACAUGGUUUCAGCUAGGCUUCUUACAGCAUAAAUGUUAGUAUGAUUGGAUGCUAGUUUAUUACUGCUUUCCCAUUGGUUAUGACAACAAUACACUGUCCUAGUAUAUAUAGAGUAAAUGCCUCUAUUUUCUAGUUAAUUAAGAUAGGUUAUUACUUGUACUCAAAACAUAUUCUCUCAAUAUAAUAUAUUCCUUCUCUCUGCAGUUCUAACCAAACUGUUCUA